This 299-nucleotide ribosomal RNA is filed under the name uncultured bacterium. RNAcentral describes it as "partial 16S ribosomal RNA". It matches the Rfam family "Bacterial small subunit ribosomal RNA", at positions 331 to 624 of the family's 1533-position model. The record is from RNAcentral.
CGUGACCUACGGGGGGCAGCAGUAGGGAAUCUUCCACAAUGGGCGAAAGCCUGAUGGAGCAACGCCGCGUGGGUGAAGAAGGUGUUCGGAUCGUAAAACCCUGUUGUUAGAGAAGAAAGUGCGUGAGAGUAACUGUUCACGUUUCGACGGUAUCUAACCAGAAAGCCACGGCUAACUACGUGCCAGCAGCCGCGGUAAUACGUAGGUGGCAAGCGUUAUCCGGAUUUAUUGGGCGUAAAGGGUACGCAGGCGGUCUUUUAAGUCUGAUGUGAAAGCCUUCGGCUUAUAUGGAGUAGUGC